GAUGAACGCUGGCGGCGUGCCUAACACAUGCAAGUCGAACGGAGUCCAGCCUUUAAGACCCUCGGGUCAAAGAGGGGAAGACUGAGUGGCGGACGGGUGAGUAACACGUGGGCAACCUGGCUCAUAGAGGGGGAUAACAGAGAGAAAUUUCUGCUAAUACCGCAUAAGCACACACUGCCGCAUGGCAGAGGGUGAAAAGAGAAUCGCUAUGAGAUGGACCCGCGUCUGAUUAGCCAGUUGGCAGGGUAAGAGCCUACCAAAGCGACGAUCAGUAGCCGAUCUGAGAGGAUGAACGGCCACAUUGGGACUGAGACACGGCCCAAACUCCUACGGGAGGCAGCAGUGGGGGAUAUUGCACAAUGGGGGGAACCCUGAUGCAGCGACGCCGCGUGAGUGAAGAAGUAUUUCGGUAUGUAAAGCUCUAUCAGCAGGGAAGAUAAUGACAGUACCUGAAUAAGAAGCCCCGGCUAACUACGUG
Molecule: ribosomal RNA, 478 nt
Filed under: uncultured bacterium
Lineage: Bacteria
Description: partial 16S ribosomal RNA
Rfam family: Bacterial small subunit ribosomal RNA
Source: RNAcentral